Molecule: unclassified non-coding RNA, 236 nt
Filed under: plant metagenome
Description: partial contains small subunit ribosomal RNA, internal transcribed spacer 1, and 5.8S ribosomal RNA
Source: RNAcentral
UCUCCGUUGGUGAACCAGCGGAGGGAUCAUUACCGAAGUUACCUUCAAAACCCACUGUGAACCUUACCUCUUGCCGCGUUGUCUCGGCGGGAGGCGGUGUGCGUCGCGCGCCCUAGCGGGCCGCGCCGCUCCCGUCCCCGCCGGCAGCGCCAAACUCUAAAUGCACAGCGGACUGUACGUUCUGAUUUACAAAAAAAAACAAGUUAAAACUUUCAACAACGGAUCUCAUGGUUCUG